Mus musculus (house mouse) is the source of this 2142-nucleotide long non-coding RNA. RefSeq annotates it as predicted gene, 41247. NCBI's taxonomy places the organism in Eukaryota, Metazoa, Chordata, Mammalia, Rodentia, Muridae. The record is from RefSeq and is a predicted model, not a curated record. The transcript has 2 exons.
AGAGAUUCACUUGCCUCUACCUCCGGAGUUCUGGGAUUAAAGUGGGUCUCUGAGCACAGCCCUGCCUAUCCCGGAAGUCACUCACUGUGGAGAUCAGACUGACCUUGAAUUCACUGGACCUGCCUACCUUUGUGUACACCUCCGGCCCAGCUCUUUGUCCCGUUUUGAAUAACAGAAGGGAGCCGGUUUCCUGUUUAAGCUGGUAGGCUUGGCCUCUAGACUCCAAGUGUAUUUGGAGGCGCUCUGUUGCUCAUCGACAUUCCGGGUUUUCCAUGGUAAGACCGACCCUGCCAUCCUAACAGGUGCCAGCCUGGUAAAGUACGUGCAGGUGCGUGGGAAGGAUUGCAGCAAAAUUAACUUCCUCUUCCGCUUUGAUGUGGUGCUGUGAUUUGAACCCAGGGCCUUGUGCAUUCUAGACAAGCCCUCCACCACUGACCUAGAUUCUCAGUCAAGAGGUGGCAAUGGACCAACCCAUCUGUCACAACCAGGCCCCUCCUGCAUUCAGACAACACGGAGGCUUGCUUGCCAGGUGGCAGGUGGCAUUGUAUGAAUCCUCUUAACUGCCUCAGGUGACGGAGCCUUUUUUGGAAUCUUUGUGACUUACCAAGAAAAUACCUCCUAUUUAGAGAUGAACUCUCUGGGUUCAGAGACGGGUGUUCCCUCGUUCACCUCUCAGUACGCAGUUGAGCCACUUACCUAUCUUGUGCUGUAUCGGCAAUCGCAAAGGAUUAUUUUAGUUUUAAUCUGGGCUGCUUGGAUUUAGAAUGGCUGCUACCUGUCCGUAGGAGCGAGGAGCUCGAUGGUGUCAUAUGCCAAACCCGAGCUAGGAGACACAGAGUUCUCCCAGACAAUUACGGGACCACGCUGGAAGACUCUCGUGGAAGACUCUUUGUGAGAUAUCUAACCUUCACUGUCAACUUGACUGGAUUUUAAGUUACCAAGAUCGGGGAGACCCCUCUGGUUGUGUCUCUGGGGGCAGGCAUUCCCAGACGUGUGGUUACCUUCCGUGUGGUAUCGCUAUCCGUGGGCUUGGGAGAGGUAACAGAGAGAGAAGGAAAACCAGUCUAGAGCUGGCAUCAUGGCAACCCAACACCUACCCCAUUCCGGGCUGGCCGUAAAGUGAGCCGGUCUCCACCAUUUGACUUCUGCUGGACAGCUUGGACAGCUUCCUGCUUCCUCAAGCUGAGUUGCACCUGGCACCUGGCAACCACGCCUCCCUUUUGUCUGAAUGCAGGAAUAGCUCGUAGUCCCAGUAGUCCCAUCGCCACCUCUUGAUUGCAGCUGUUCCCUGAGUGAUCCAUCUUCCCCUUCACACCUCAGGCCUUAUCUUUACUCAGUCAGCCUUGCUGUUUCUGCUGCCCGCCUUGAGGCUUCUGAUACCGUCUCCAUUGAGAUUUGAUGUGCUCAGUGGCAUGAGCCCCAGGUAGCAUGUCCUGUCUGAUCCCUGUAGCUCCUAGGAGUGGCUGUGAGGUUUCCCAGUCACUCCCAACCUUUGCUGACCAUUCCUUCAGUGCACAGGCUCUGUGUCCAGGGCAUGCGGCUGAAGAUGCCCACGCCCUGUCUUACUCAGUCUUGUGGACCCGCUGAGUCGGGGGCUGCGUUUGGGGAAGCUGCUGUCUGUUUCCUUUUCCUUGCGUAGAGCUCGCUAUUGGUAGGAGCUGUUUAACUAACCCUUUUCUUUCAGUCCCUUCUCCCCCUCCUUUAGCUAUUUAUUUGUUGAGUUUCUACUUCUAUUUUUUAAAUCAACAUAGACAAUAAGUGUCAUUAGUCAUAUUCACCCAUCCAUACCUCUCUCUGUGCCUCCUUGUCCCCGCCUUGUCUCUGUUCCUUGCUGUCCCAUUUCCUCGUUACCCUCCCCAGACCUUUCCCUCCAUCUCAUAGUCCUCUUUCUGGGUUUGGGCCUCUGCUCACGCUCUAUCCUACACGUGCACAUAUAGAAACAUGUAAAGCUGGGAUCUGCAUUCAUGUGUGCGUUACAGUUGGCAUCACAUGUCAACCUGACUCACCUGGAAGGAGGGACUCUCAAGUGAGGAAUUGCUCUCAUCUGGUUGGCCAGGAGGCAUGCCUGUGGGACAUUUCCUUUACAGUAGUUGAGGGCAUGGGGGCCCAGCCCACUGUGGGUGGUACAGUCCCUAGGCAGUU